This is a long non-coding RNA of Dermacentor andersoni, 343 nucleotides long. RefSeq lists it as uncharacterized. The record is from RefSeq and is a predicted model, not a curated record. Lineage: Eukaryota; Metazoa; Arthropoda; Arachnida; Ixodida; Ixodidae.
AAAAUACCUGAUAUUAUUUGCUUCAAUUGCAGCUAUUGCACCAGUGAAGGAUGUCUGUGUGCCGGUUUGUGCUCAGUUUCUCAGCCAGCGGGCCUGAGAAAGUGUGCCACAGCAGUCUGUCUAGUGGUGCUCUUUGUUCUGGAAGGACGCAAGCAUUGCUGAGGAGCCAUUUGACCUGCCGCCACACUAAUAUUGUAUUUGGCAAAGCCGAAGGCCUCUGCAAGCAGCCAGUCAUUCCAAGUCUCAACCAAUCCUUCCUCUAGUCAGCCAAUUUCUAGUGUCUAUGCGGAAAGGACUUGCGCAAGAGUGUACACGGGACACUAAAAAAGCGACAAGGACAGGC